This 3431-nucleotide ribosomal RNA is filed under the name Triticum aestivum (bread wheat). RNAcentral describes it as "partial small subunit ribosomal RNA". Lineage: Eukaryota; Viridiplantae; Streptophyta; Magnoliopsida; Poales; Poaceae. The record is from RNAcentral.
AGGAGAAAGUAAACCACCGAGACAAAUCUAUUACGGCUCCCCUCUCUCUUUCUCAAGCUCACCGCCUCGUCUCCUCCGUUAAGGAAGACAAGUACAGCUAAGGCUCUAUAAGGUGGCGAGCUAGAACUAAAGAGAAGGGAAAGAGAAACUAGGGACCGACGGCGCCAGCCAACAAGAACAGAGAGCGGGAGGGGCCAUACUAAAACGAACACAACACCGACACAUCGAAGUUUUAGAUCCUACUCAAAGAACAAACCUAGGCACCGUCCACGUACAACGCCGGUACAACAUCAGGCGGUAAAACGAGGGGAAGAUGAACGGACUCUACCCACUAAACAAGACAUUCAGUAGCCCACAAGAUCCAGUAGACCAGCAACACCAGCAAAAGUGGGGACGACUAAACAAAGGAGACGACAUCUACAUCUCCAUCCGCUUCAACAUCAACAUCACCACCUAAGGGGACAGGUAAAAUAAAGACGUCCGGACCCACAGAUAAGGCGGACGUAAAAAUAGCCAUCUACAUCAACAUAUACCGAACCGGACCCUAAGACGACCGAAUACGUUACACCUACAUCAUCGAUUAAACACAUAGGAAGGAGACUUAAACAAACGGGAAGGAUCAAACUAAAACCGGGCCGGGAAACACUACAUCUACAUCCACGAUAAACAAAUUCAAAGGACGAGAUAAUACCAAAGACUUAACAACCGAGGAAUACACAGAAUGGACGUGUACAAACGAGAACAUCAAAGACUUAGGGAGUACUUAAAAAGAACAAUCUACAUCCACAAGUCAAAGGGACCAAGGACUUAGAGUUACUUAAUCACACAUGAUCCGGACGUCACGACUACAUCACAAUCAGGUACCUAAAAAGAAUAAAAACAGUCACGUUAUAUGGAGUCUUAAUGUCACAUUACAUAGGGUAUUAACCUCACACUAGGGGUACGAAGAAAUAAGAUUAAUGUCACAUUACAUGGGAUUUUAAUAUCACAUAAGAUCGGGUCUACCGUGACAUAUACGGAUGUUAACGUAAAAGCAAAUGAUUGGGGUCUAAAUGUCACAUUAUAUGGGGUCUAAAAGUGACAUAAAACAUACGAAGUCCUGACAUUAAUAACGUACCAAGGGUCAAAAUGUGACAUUAAACGUACCAUGUCGUGACAUUAACAACAUCCCGAAAGUCAAAAACAGUCUAUCUAAUGAAAGUUUACAAAGUAGUGACAUUAUAUGGGAUCUAAAAGAGACAUUAAAUAUACGAAGUCUUGACAUUAACAAUAUACGAAGUCUAUCUAAUGUAACCGAAGAAGCAGACCCGAAUGUGACAUCAUACGGUAUCAAAAUGUGAUAUUAAACAUACCAAGCUGUAACAUAAACAACAUCCAUAAACGCUCCAUCUAAUGUCACCUAAAAUGGAAACUUAACCUCCCGAAUGUGACAUUAAAUGACGUCUAAAUGUGACAUUAAACUUACGAAGUUGUAACAUUAACAACAUGCCGAAUGUUGCAUAAACAGUGUCAACUAAAUGGAGACUAAAACGACACAUUAAUCGUACGAAAAUCCUGACGUUAAGUACAUAAAAGAACGAAAAAAUAAAAGAAGAAAAGAACACGAUCACACAGAGGCAACGUCAUCAUAACUCGUCUCCAGGACAAAAUCCAACUACUAACAAAAACACAAGAAAGAUCUAAACAGAUCAUUUAUCACAAUGUAAUCGACAAGUACACAUAAGAAAUUACUUCACAUACCUCUAAAACAAGAUGAUAAAAUGAAGAAAAGAAAAAGGAGGAAGUACAUAAGACAAAUAUACAAAAUGAAAUUACUCAUCCGAUGUCUUUCAGAGAGUAGACCUGCAAACCAAUCAUAGUAGAGAACUGUUACGUCUAAGACACCCACUUGGAUAACACGGAUUGCUGAAACGCCUUCUACCAAGAAUAGGAUACAGAUGCCAUCAAUAAAGAAAGAAGAAUAGAUCGAAAUAAAAUAACAAGAAUCAAUAACUCCAACAAAAUAAAUUAAAAUCAGACAACUCAAAAAUUAUAUAAAAACGUCCUUGAUAGACCACUACUUCCUCCCAAACUGUUUAGAGAAAACUUCAAGAUAAACUUAGUUCACACAAAAGGAAAAGAACAUGAUAAAACUAAAACAAAACACAUAAAAGAAACCCACCGGGAACACAAAAACAGUAAAGUCUUGCAUUUUACGAACUUUCCUUUAAUAGUAGACGAAGGUACAAGUAUCCGGGUAGAGGACUCACAUGGACGUUCGUUUUCCCGUUAAACAAAAGAUAUCAACACGAAAAGAGUCUAACCAUCGAGACACCAUAAACUUAAAACGAAAAUGACUUAUAUUAUAGCCUUACAUCUUCACGCCACUAUCUUUUACACAGGACGCUGUAUAAACAACACUCGAAAAUAAUAAUAAAUACAUAAAUCUUACAAGGAUAUCACAGAAAGUUGUAUAAGACUUUGUUUACACAUUGAGUGUAAAUCUUACUCAAGAAGGACUCUGUUAGAGUUAUCUAGUAGAAGUCAACGACAGAAAUAGUACGAGGAGUAGACCGUAUAAACUUGUUUUUUACGGUCAUAGUUGUAUUAUAACUCGUUGUUUGGCAAAUCUAUAUCUACUUAAAACGACCCAUGAAUUUGUCAACAUGAAAUACAUAAAAACGAAGGUUAUCAACCCCAUAAGGUUCACAUAGGAGCCUUGAUUGUGACAUUUAAUAUCACUUCAUCGAGACUUCAAAAUAACAUUAAAUAACCCCAAAAUGGCGUAUCGAAGUAGUGACGUUUAGGGACGUAUUAAAGUAAGAUUAAGGGACACAUAAAAAAGACAUAAGAAGCUCCCAUAACGUGACAUUCGUGAAAGUAGCAUUUCGAACCCAUAAUGUCACAUUCGGUACCCAUGAACGACACAUUAAUGUAACAUACAUAUUACAUAAAAUAUCUCCAAAAUGUUACAUUAAGAACCAGUGAACGUGACAUUAAUGUUCGAAACCUAAGAACCCAAAGUGUGACAUUAAGGACGAGUAAAUGUGACAUUAAAUCACAUCAGAGUAGUCAAAAAUGUUCACAUUAAGGAACACACGAACGUCACAUUAAUGACACAUACAUGAUACAUUAAAUAUCCCCCUAAAUGUGACAUUUAGAACCAGUGAAAGUCACAUUGAGAACCCAUAAAAGUCACAGUAGGCAAAAAUGAACGUAACAGUAAUCAAAGACGAUGACUUACAAAGACCUUUAAUGGGAUCUAAAAUGUAACCUUGAUGGAGUUAUAAAAUCUCAUUAAAGGACGAUGUACAUCGUACGCUUCCAAUACAUUAAAGGAUCUAAAUGUCGACUACAACUAUACAGAACAUAAAUGUGACAAAAAUGUACGAAUGUACAUUUGGUGCAGUCUUAAAAUCACAUUAAAGGUACAAGUACAGUAAAAUUAACGA